UCUAGUCCUUUCCCACUUGAGACAGAAUUUGAGUUUAUAAAUUCAGCCUUAAAAGAUCAAUACACACUUCCAAGCCAGCAUAUCCUCUCAUCUUAAAAUGGGUUUGUUUUUUAUGUAUAAAAAGCCAGUGGCUUAACUGAGUAGACACUAUCAUUUUUACAGGGCUAAUUGCAUUUGGAUAGGGCCCUGGGGGAGGGGAGUGGUGGGCUACGGUAGGCACAGGUAGAUGGGGGACAUCUGGCAUUCUUUGGGAAUUGUUGACAUUUUGCUUUUUUCCUCUGUCACUCGAUAACCCUUCUUCUAACAGUGGUAGACAUUCCAAGGUAGCUGGCUUGAGCAAACAAAGAGAACUUACUGGCUCACAUUACAAAAAAAAAAAAAAAUUCUGGAUAAACUGCAUUCAGGAGCAGCUGGACCAGACAGAACUCAGAAAUGAACUGCACGUCAGCUGUGCAGGCAGGGAGAAAGGAGGUGGAAGAGGCAAGGGAGCAAGAAAGGAAGGAGGGAAGCAAAAUAAACCCACUCCUGUGUAGAGCGUUGGAAAUGUGGCACUAACAAAGACUUCCUGUUCCACAUAGAAUCAGCGCUGGCAGAGGCGGCAUGCAGGGCUGUGGGUGUACUCAGCUGUGCAGAGCUGAUUAUAGAAGAUGAAAGGGCUUGGCAAUUUAUUUCAUCUCACACUGAAGCACUGCUGACAACUGAAAGUGAGGACAGAAGGAUUCAUUUGUUCAACUUCUGUUUUAAAAAACAGACUUCAAAUGAUACCACAGAGAAAAAGGAGGAAACGCUGCAGUGUAAUAAAAUGUCUAUUUUUAAAAAACACACUAGCUGCAGCAUUUUUAUUUCAUAGGUGGGUUUGAAGGCAAAGGGGUUGGCUUUUUUGUGGUUGUUAUCAAUUCCAGGGAAUGUGACAUGCACGCAGGAUCAAUUACUAAUCAAAUAGACCACGUUCACCUAAUCUGACCAAAGCUCUCGUGUACAUUCAUCCUUGAGUCCAAAGAUGAGUCACAGUGAGGAAAACCUAACCCUGCAGUGUUUAAAUACUUCCUAUGCAGGAUCUUUAUACUAAAACUGAAUAAAUGUAUGAUAUAUGAUGGAGAAUCUAUUUUAAAUUUUAUAAUCCUGGUCAUCUUAAUUUUUA
This 1141-nucleotide long non-coding RNA is filed under the name Homo sapiens (human). RNAcentral's name for it is "HSALNT0093795". The record is from RNAcentral. Lineage: Eukaryota; Metazoa; Chordata; Mammalia; Primates; Hominidae.